UUGACGGUAACGAUAGCAGCUUGCUUGCUAGGCGACGAGUAGCGGACGGGUGAGUAAUACAUAGGAAUCUGCCCAGUAGCGGGGGACAACUCGGAGAAAUCCGAGCUAAUACCGCAUACGCCCUACGGGGGAAAGCGGAGGAUCUUCGGACUUCGCACUAUUGGAUGAGCCUAUGUCGGAUUAGCUUGUUGGUGAGGUAAUGGCCUACCAAGGCAACGAUCUGUAGCUGGUCUGAGAGGACGAUCAGCCACACUGGGACUGAGACACGGCCCAGACUCCUACGGGAGGCAGCAGUGGGGAAUAUUGGACAAUGGGCGCAAGCCUGAUCCAGCAAUGCCGCGUGUGUGAAGAAGGCCUGCGGGUUGUAAAGCACUUUCAAUCGUGAAAAAAAGCUCAUGGUUAAUACCCAUGAGUCUUGAU
This 420-nucleotide ribosomal RNA is filed under the name uncultured bacterium. RNAcentral describes it as "bacterial SSU rRNA". It matches the Rfam family "Bacterial small subunit ribosomal RNA", at positions 63 to 473 of the family's 1533-position model. The record is from RNAcentral.